AAUAUCUUUGGCCUGUAGUGCAAAGAUGAAUGAUUUCUGAUGAAUAUCUUUGGCCCGUAGUGCAAAGAUGAACAGGUGUUUAGAUGAACAUGACCAACUGAUGAAUAUCCUUGGCCUGUAGUGCAAGGAUGAAUAUAUGAUUCCAGAUAUAUAUUGAUUGAUGUUACAGGGAUAAAAAUAUUGAUGAUGGACUGUUAAAUUCAUAGAUAUUAGUAGAUUUCAUCCUCUACGUAAC
Molecule: long non-coding RNA, 235 nt
Filed under: Panax ginseng (ginseng)
Lineage: Eukaryota; Viridiplantae; Streptophyta; Magnoliopsida; Apiales; Araliaceae
Description: long non-coding RNA (PGIN_LNC009560)
Source: RNAcentral